UGUUCCUAAUUAAUUAAAAAUAUGUAAAAUUAUUUAAUAGUAUACUUUGUCUGGUGUCUUUGGGUAUAAAAGGACUUUGUACCUGUAAUAGCACAUUUUAAUGUGAAUAUUGUCAAUGUCCAAAAUGAAAAUUCAAAUUAAUUAUUCACCGCUCCACCAUUUCUCCUUUGCAUAUAUAUAUUGCAUAUAUAAAUCUUCAAUAAAAAGAUUUAAUGCCAAUAAAUUAUUGUUCAAGAUAAACAUUGGAAUAGUAUUGUCUGAGGAUACAGAAGUAAACUAGACAAAAUGAUCAGUAAUCACCACAAAGCCACAGAAUUUAUUGUUGGUAUAGUUGGUCUGUUUCUUAUUUUCAAUUUCUAUCUUCAUUUUACUGAACAAAAACAAUCUGAUGUUUUGGAUUUAAAUCCAUUUUUGCCUAGGAUGCACAAAUAAUCAAGGUUAAAAUAAAAUACCACCAUAGAUUGCUGUUUGUCUAUAAUAUGUAUAUAUAUAUGGCUGAGUAGUCUAGAGCGCUAGAUACAGUGAUGGCAGUGUUGUCUCGAUAUACCAAUAGCACGAGUUCGAAUCCCAACAGGGGAAGAACACAAAUUUGCUUCCAAACAUUUGCAGAUUUAACAUUGUUGUGUCUUGAUAUUUAGAGUAAUUAUGAAUUCAGUAUGUGUUUUCAGCUGUGUAUCACCUUCACUAAUGAUCCAACGGAUGGAUCUGUUAUAGAGUUGUCACUUGUUUAAACGUACCUUAUAUAUAUAUAUAUAUAUAUAUAUAUAUAUAUAUAUAUAUAGGUUAAAUAUGCUAUAUUCUGAAAAAAAAACAUGCUGAUAAAAAGGUUUACAGACAAAUACAUCAAUAGCAAAUGAUACAGUUGUACAGCUGUGAAGUAACAGUAUAUGGUAUAAAACAAAUACAGAAAAA
RNAcentral lists this long non-coding RNA (912 nucleotides) under Mytilus galloprovincialis (Mediterranean mussel). The record is from RNAcentral. Lineage: Eukaryota; Metazoa; Mollusca; Bivalvia; Mytilida; Mytilidae.